UACAGAGGUCUCAAGCGUUGUUCGGAUUCAUUGGGCGUAAAGGGUGCGUAGGCGGCGCGGUAAGUCGGGUGUGAAAUCUCGGAGCUUAACUCCGAAACUGCAUUCGAUACUGCCGUGCUUGAGGACUGGAGAGGAGACUGGAAUUCCGGGUGUAGUGGUGAAAUGCGUAGAGAUCCGGAGGAACACCAGUGGCGAAGGCGACACGCUGGGCCGUACCUGACACUGAUGCGCGACAGCAUGGGGAGCAAACAGG
This 253-nucleotide ribosomal RNA is filed under the name uncultured bacterium. Its description in RNAcentral is "partial 16S ribosomal RNA". It matches the Rfam family "Bacterial small subunit ribosomal RNA", at positions 524 to 776 of the family's 1533-position model. The record is from RNAcentral.